GCACAGGUGGCCGAGUGGUUAAGGCGUGAGACUCGAAAUCUUAUAGGUUUUCCUGCACAGGUUCGACUCCUGUUCUGUGCG
Molecule: transfer RNA, 81 nt
Filed under: Cryptomonas sp.
Lineage: Eukaryota; Cryptophyceae; Cryptomonadales; Cryptomonadaceae
Description: tRNA-Ser
Rfam family: tRNA
About the family: Transfer RNA (tRNA) molecules are approximately 80 nucleotides in length.
Source: RNAcentral